GGGCCCAUAGCUCAGCUUGGUAGAGCGGCAGGCUCAUAACCUGUCGGUCAGGGGUUCGAAUCCCCUUGGGCCCACCA
Molecule: transfer RNA, 77 nt
Filed under: Candidatus Thorarchaeota archaeon
Lineage: Archaea; Promethearchaeati; Candidatus Thorarchaeota
Description: tRNA-Ile
Rfam family: tRNA
About the family: Transfer RNA (tRNA) molecules are approximately 80 nucleotides in length.
Source: RNAcentral